UACGUAGGUGGCAAGCGCUAUCCGGAUUUACUGGGUGUAAAGGGCGUGUAGGCGGGAGAGCAAGUCAGACGUGAAAUUCCAGGGCUCAACCCUGGAACUGCGUUUGAAACUGUUCUUCUUGAGUGAUGGAGAGGCAGGCGGAAUUCCGUGUGUAGCGGUGAAAUGCGUAGAUAUACGGAGGAACACCAGUGGCGAAGGCGGCCUGCUGGACAUUAACUGACGCUGAGGCGCGAAAGCGUGGGGAGCAAACAGG
Molecule: ribosomal RNA, 253 nt
Filed under: uncultured bacterium
Lineage: Bacteria
Description: partial 16S ribosomal RNA
Rfam family: Bacterial small subunit ribosomal RNA
Source: RNAcentral